This 704-nucleotide ribosomal RNA is filed under the name uncultured bacterium. RNAcentral describes it as "bacterial SSU rRNA". It matches the Rfam family "Bacterial small subunit ribosomal RNA", at positions 56 to 755 of the family's 1533-position model. The record is from RNAcentral.
UGCAAGUCGAGCGGUAGAGAGAAGCUUGCUUCUCUUGAGAGCGGCGGACGGGUGAGUAAUGCCUAGGAAUCUGCCUGGUAGUGGGGGAUAACGUUCGGAAACGGACGCUAAUACCGCAUACGUCCUACGGGAGAAAGCAGGGGACCUUCGGGCCUUGCGCUAUCAGAUGAGCCUAGGUCGGAUUAGCUAGUUGGUGAGGUAAUGGCUCACCAAGGCGACGAUCCGUAACUGGUCUGAGAGGAUGAUCAGUCACACUGGAACUGAGACACGGUCCAGACUCCUACGGGAGGCAGCAGUGGGGAAUAUUGGACAAUGGGCGAAAGCCUGAUCCAGCCAUGCCGCGUGUGUGAAGAAGGUCUUCGGAUUGUAAAGCACUUUAAGUUGGGAGGAAGGGCAGUUGCCUAAUACGUAACUGUUUUGACGUUACCGACAGAAUAAGCACCGGCUAACUCUGUGCCAGCAGCCGCGGUAAUACAGAGGGUGCAAGCGUUAAUCGGAAUUACUGGGCGUAAAGCGCGCGUAGGUGGUUUGUUAAGUUGGAUGUGAAAUCCCCGGGCUCAACCUGGGAACUGCAUUCAAAACUGACUGACUAGAGUAUGGUAGAGGGUGGUGGAAUUUCCUGUGUAGCGGUGAAAUGCGUAGAUAUAGGAAGGAACACCAGUGGCGAAGGCGACCACCUGGACUAAUACUGACACUGAGGUGCG